GAUGAACGCUGGCGGCGUGCCUAAUACAUGCAAGUCGAGCGACCACACAAUGAGCUUGUUCCUCUGCCGUUAGCGACGGACGGGCGAGUAAGAAGUAGAUAACCUUCUUCUAUGACUGGGGUAAUUUCGGGGAAACAGUGCCACUACUGGCUCAUAUGUCCAACGGCAUGGAUCAAUAGUGCAAGACGGCUUUGCCGACACAUUUAGAUGGAUCCGCGCCGCAUUAGCUAGUUGGUAAGGUAACGGCAUACCAAGGCAACGAUGCGUAGCUGACCUGAGAGGGUGAUCAGCCACACUGGAACUGAGACACGGUCCAGACUCCUACGGGAGGCAGCAGUGGGGAAUCUUCCGCAAUGGGCGAAAGCCUGACGCAGCAACGCCGCGUGGGUGAUGAAGGUCUUCGGGUUGUAAAGCUCUUUUGUUAGGAAAGAACAAAUGUGUAUGAAACUAUGCACGUCUUGACGGUACCUAAACAGAAAGCCACGGCUAACUUCGUG
RNAcentral lists this ribosomal RNA (497 nucleotides) under uncultured bacterium. Its description in RNAcentral is "partial 16S ribosomal RNA". It matches the Rfam family "Bacterial small subunit ribosomal RNA", at positions 28 to 507 of the family's 1533-position model. The record is from RNAcentral.